Molecule: small RNA, 109 nt
Filed under: Vibrio tubiashii
Lineage: Bacteria; Pseudomonadati; Pseudomonadota; Gammaproteobacteria; Vibrionales; Vibrionaceae
Description: Qrr RNA
Rfam family: Qrr RNA
About the family: This family represents a set of small RNAs (the Qrr RNAs) that are thought to be involved in the regulation of quorum sensing in Vibrio species. It is believed that these RNAs, guided by a protein, Hfq, can mediate the destabilisation of the quorum-sensing master regulators LuxR/HapR mRNAs.
Source: RNAcentral
CGACCCUUAAUUAAGCCGAGGGUCACCUAGCCAACUGACGUUGUUAGUGAACCCAUUUUGUUCACACUUAUAGCGGCCAAUCUCACUUCUUGAGGUUGGCCUUUUUGUU